CUACGGGUCGCUCCAGUGAGGAAUAUUGGUCAAUGGGCGCAAGCCUGAACCAGCCAUGCCGCGUGGAGGAUGAAGGCCCUCUGGGUUGUAAACUUCUUUUAUUUGGGAAGAAAAGCACGGUUUCUACUGUGUCCGACGGUACCAGAUGAAUAAGCACCGGCUAACUCCGUGCCAGCAGCCGCGGUAAUACGGAGGGUGCAAGCGUUAUCCGGAUUUACUGGGUUUAAAGGGUGUGUAGGCGGAUAUUUAAGUCAGAGGUGAAAUCUCCAGGCUCAACCUGGAAACUGCCUUUGAUACUAUUUAUCUUGAAUUUCGUUGAGGUUGGCGGAAUAUAUCAUGUAGCGGUGAAAUGCAUAGAUAUGAUAUAGAACACCGAUUGCGUAGGCAGCUGGCUGAACGACGAUUGACGCUGAGGCACGAAAGCGUGGGUAGCGAACAGGAUUAGAUACCCCGGUAGUC
This 459-nucleotide ribosomal RNA is filed under the name uncultured bacterium. RNAcentral's name for it is "partial 16S ribosomal RNA". It matches the Rfam family "Bacterial small subunit ribosomal RNA", at positions 339 to 795 of the family's 1533-position model. The record is from RNAcentral.